This 300-nucleotide ribosomal RNA is filed under the name uncultured bacterium. RNAcentral describes it as "partial 16S ribosomal RNA". It matches the Rfam family "Bacterial small subunit ribosomal RNA", at positions 1048 to 1348 of the family's 1533-position model. The record is from RNAcentral.
UCAGUCUUUCACCUCGAAAUGUGAAAUUUUGGCUUAAUUCCCGCAAGAAGCCCACCCCUUGUUUUUUUUUCCCUCCGGUAAGGGGGGGCACUCUAAGGAGACUGCCGGUGAUAAACCGGAGGAAGGUGGGGAUGACGUCAAGUCAUCAUGGCCCUUACGACCAGGGCUACACACGUGCUACAAUGGUGGGUACAAAGGGUUGCGACCCCGCGAGGUGGAGCCAAUCCCAUAAACCCCGUCGUAGUCCGGAUUGGGAGUCUGCAACUCGACUCCUGAAGUCGAUUCCUUAGUAAUCGGGUC